Molecule: unclassified non-coding RNA, 453 nt
Filed under: Apis dorsata (giant honeybee)
Lineage: Eukaryota; Metazoa; Arthropoda; Insecta; Hymenoptera; Apidae
Description: zinc finger protein 436-like, transcript variant X3
Source: RNAcentral
AUAUCAAAAUUCAACUUUCAACGUCAUUUCUUUCAUAUUUAUAAUUAAUUAUAAUUAAUUUUACAUUUCAUGUCCGUCGUAUGUAAUAAAGACUAAACCAAUUGUAAUUACUUACAACAGCGAUUAAGACAACCUAUCCAUAAGAAGAAAAGACGUUCGUUAAUUUCUCUCCUAGCUGAUAUUCCGUAUGUUCUCGAAAUAAAUAAAUUAUCGCGAUAUUUUUCCUCCGAUUAACAUAAUUCUUUUUUAUUUUUAGGCCGUUACCACGCGAUCCUUUUGUACAAAUUUUUGUGGUGCAAAAGGUCGAUAAAUAUUUUCUCCUGCCUGUCGAGGAAUCAGUACAAAAGCAACCGGAAGAGGAUUCUAUCGCGACAAACAUUUGCAUCAAGACUGAAGUACAUGAAGAAACAUCUGAACAACAACUUGUCGAAUCUCAAUUACAAGAAACAGAUA